GACGAACGCUGGCGGCGUGCUUAACACAUGCAAGUCGAACGAUGAAGGGGAGCUUGCUUCCUGGAUUAGUGGCGAACGGGUGAGUAACACGUGAGUAACCUGCCCUUGACUCUGGGAUAAGCGCUGGAAACGGCGUCUAAUACCGGAUACGACCUGCCCCGGCAUCGGGUGCGGGUGGAAAGUUUUUCGGUCAAGGAUGGACUCGCGGCCUAUCAGCUUGUUGGUGAGGUAAUGGCUCACCAAGGCGACGACGGGUAGCCGGCCUGAGAGGGUGACCGGCCACACUGGGACUGAGACACGGCCCAGACUCCUACGGGAGGCAGCAGUGGGGAAUAUUGCACAAUGGGCGAAAGCCUGAUGCAGCAACGCCGCGUGAGGGAUGACGGCCUUCGGGUUGUAAACCUCUUUUAGUAGGGAAGAAGGGCCUUCGGGUUUGACGGUACCUGCAGAAAAAGCACCGGCUAACUACGUGCCAGCAGCCGCGGUAAUACGUAGGGUGCAAGCGUUGUCCGGAAUUAUUGGGCGUAAAGAGCUCGUAGGCGGUUUGUCGCGUCUGCUGUGAAAACCCGAGGCUCAACCUCGGGCCUGCAGUGGGUACGGGCAGACUAGAGUGCGGUAGGGGAGAAUGGAAUUCCUGGUGUAGCGGUGGAAUGCGCAGAUAUCAGGAGGAACACCGAUGGCGAAGGCAGUUCUCUGGGCCGUAACUGACGCUGAGGAGCGAAAGCGUGGGGAGCGAACAGGAUUAGAUACCCUGGUAGUCCACGCCGUAAACGUUGGGCGCUAGAUGUGGGGACCUUUCCACGGUUUCCGUGUCGCAGCUAACGCAUUAAGCGCCCCGCCUGGGGAGUACGGCCGCAAGGCUAAAACUCAAAGGAAUUGACGGGGGCCCGCACAAGCGGCGGAGCAUGCGGAUUAAUUCGAUGCAACGCGAAGAACCUUACCAAGGCUUGACAUAUACGAGAACGGGCCAGAAAUGGUCAACUCUUUGGACACUCGUAAACAGGUGGUGCAUGGUUGUCGUCAGCUCGUGUCGUGAGAUGUUGGGUUAAGUCCCGCAACGAGCGCAACCCUCGUUCUAUGUUGCCAGCACGUUAUGGUGGGAACUCAUAGGAGACUGCCGGGGUCAACUCGGAGGAAGGUGGGGAUGACGUCAAAUCAUCAUGCCCCUUAUGUCUUGGGCUUCACGCAUGCUACAAUGGCCGGUACAAAGGGCUGCGAUACCGUAAGGUGGAGCGAAUCCCAAAAAGCCGGUCUCAGUUCGGAUUGAGGUCUGCAACUCGACCUCAUGAAGUCGGAGUCGCUAGUAAUCGCAGAUCAGCAACGCUGCGGUGAAUACGUUCCCGGGCCU
RNAcentral lists this ribosomal RNA (1348 nucleotides) under uncultured bacterium. RNAcentral describes it as "bacterial SSU rRNA". It matches the Rfam family "Bacterial small subunit ribosomal RNA", at positions 28 to 1381 of the family's 1533-position model. The record is from RNAcentral.